Molecule: ribosomal RNA, 429 nt
Filed under: uncultured anaerobic ammonium-oxidizing bacterium
Lineage: Bacteria
Description: bacterial SSU rRNA
Rfam family: Bacterial small subunit ribosomal RNA
Source: RNAcentral
GUGAUCGAGCGACGCCGCGUGGAGGAUGAAGGCCUUCGGGUUGUAAACUCCUGUCGAGGGGAAGGAACGGCCGGUGCAGAGCCGGCCUUGACCGAUCCCUGGAGGAAGCACGGGCUAAGUUCGUGCCAGCAGCCGCGGUAAGACGAACCGUGCAAACGUUAUUCGGAAUCACUGGGCUUAAAGCGCGUGUAGGCGGGCCGGCACGUCGGUCGCUGAAAGCCCCCGGCUCAACCGGGGAAGCGGCGCCGAUACGACCGGCCUCGAGGGACGUAGGGGGACCUGGAACUUCCGGUGGAGCGGUGAAAUGCGUUGAGAUCGGAAGGAACGCCCGUGGCGAAAGCGAGGUCCUGGACGUCUGCUGACGCUGAGACGCGAAAGCCAGGGGAGCAAACGGGAUUAGAUACCCCGGUAGUCCUGGCUGUAAACGAU